AUGGGGUGUUUAGAAGGUCGACGCCGACCCAGAUCUAAUAUGAAGGCGGCAAAGAAAUUGGGCGACGGUAGUGCAGCACUCCCACAGGGCUUUCAGGGGGAGAGCAGACGAAGUCGGACGAUGGCGGGCGCAUCGCUCCCAACGGAUCCAACGCAGGAGCAGCGUCAUGGCGUGGAUCUAGAGCAAAACGCGAUGGCGACGAAGCUUAUCUGCCAUGGCGGCUCGACUGGGUUCCUACGCUGGAAGGGGAGAGUGAGACGAGGGAGGAGAUAG
This 273-nucleotide ribosomal RNA is filed under the name Triticum aestivum (bread wheat). Its description in RNAcentral is "partial small subunit ribosomal RNA". The record is from RNAcentral. Lineage: Eukaryota; Viridiplantae; Streptophyta; Magnoliopsida; Poales; Poaceae.